This is a non-coding RNA of Ictidomys tridecemlineatus (thirteen-lined ground squirrel), 69 nucleotides long. Lineage: Eukaryota; Metazoa; Chordata; Mammalia; Rodentia; Sciuridae. The record is from Rfam.
GGGGUUGUGGCUCAACGGUAGAGCGCUCGUCUAGCACAUUAUAGGCCCUGGGUUCAAUCCUCAGCACCA